Molecule: ribosomal RNA, 254 nt
Filed under: uncultured bacterium
Lineage: Bacteria
Description: partial 16S ribosomal RNA
Rfam family: Bacterial small subunit ribosomal RNA
Source: RNAcentral
UACGAAGGGGGCUAGCGUUGCUCGGAAUUACUGGGCGUAAAGGGCGCGUAGGCGGCACUGUUAGUCAGGCGUGAAAUCCCUCGGCUUAACCGGGGAACUGCGUCUGAUACUGGAUGGCUUGAGUUUGGGAGAGGGACGCGGAAUUCCAGGUGUAGCGGUGAAAUGCGUAGAUAUCUGGAGGAACACCGGUGGCGAAGGCGGCAUCCUGGACCAACACUGACGCUGAGUGAGCGAAAGCCAGGGGAGCAAACGGG